RNAcentral lists this ribosomal RNA (492 nucleotides) under uncultured bacterium. RNAcentral's name for it is "partial 16S ribosomal RNA". It matches the Rfam family "Bacterial small subunit ribosomal RNA", at positions 29 to 507 of the family's 1533-position model. The record is from RNAcentral.
AGUGAACGCUGGCGGUAGGCCUAACACAUGCAAGUCGAACGGCAGCACAGUAAGAGCUUGCUCUUACGGGUGGCGAGUGGCGGACGGGUGAGGAAUACAUCGGAAUCUACUUUUUCGUGGGGGAUAACGUAGGGAAACUUACGCUAAUACCGCAUACGACCUACGGGUGAAAGCAGGGGAUCUUCGGACCUUGCGCGAUUGAAUGAGCCGAUGUCGGAUUAGCUAGUUGGCGGGGUAAAGGCCCACCAAGGCGACGAUCCGUAGCUGGUCUGAGAGGAUGAUCAGCCACACUGGAACUGAGACACGGUCCAGACUCCUACGAGAGGCAGCAGUGGGGAAUAUUGGACAAUGGGCGCAAGCCUUAUCCAGCCAUACCGCGUGGGUGAAGAAGGCCUUCGGGUUGUAAAGCCCUUUUGUUGGGAAAGAAAAGCAGCAGGUUAAUACCCCGCUGUUCUGACGGUACCCAAAGAAUAAGCACCGGCUAACUUCGUG